GAGUUCGAUCCUGGCUCAGGAUGAACGCUAGCUACAGGCUUAACACAUGCAAGUCGAGGGGCAGCAUACUGAUAGCUUGCUAUCAGUGAUGGCGACCGGCGCACGGGUGAGUAACGCGUAUCCAACCUUCCCCGUAGUAGGGCACAGCCCGGCGAAAGUCGGAUUAAUUCCCUAUGUUCUCCAAUGCAGACAUCUAAGUUGGAGCAAAGAUUGAUCGCUAUGGGAUGGGGAUGCGUCUGAUUAGGUUGUCGGCGGGGUAACGGCCCACCGAGCCCGCGAUCAGUAGGGGUUCUGAGAGGAAGGUCCCCCACAUUGGAACUGAGCCAUGAUCAAACUC
This 337-nucleotide ribosomal RNA is filed under the name uncultured Prevotella sp. RNAcentral's name for it is "bacterial SSU rRNA". It matches the Rfam family "Bacterial small subunit ribosomal RNA", at positions 9 to 338 of the family's 1533-position model. Lineage: Bacteria; Pseudomonadati; Bacteroidota; Bacteroidia; Bacteroidales; Prevotellaceae. The record is from RNAcentral.